UACGGAGGGGGCUAGCGUUGUUCGGAAUUACUGGGCGUAAAGCGCACGUAGGCGGCUUUGUAAGUUAGAGGUGAAAGCCCGGGGCUCAACUCCGGAAUUGCCUUUAAGACUGCAUAGCUUGAAUUGUGGAGAGGUGAGUGGAAUUCCGAGUGUAGAGGUGAAAUUCGUAGAUAUUCGGAAGAACACCAGUGGCGAAGGCGACUCACUGGACACAUAUUGACGCUGAGGUGCGAAAGCGUGGGGAGCAAACAGG
RNAcentral lists this ribosomal RNA (253 nucleotides) under uncultured bacterium. Its description in RNAcentral is "partial 16S ribosomal RNA". It matches the Rfam family "Bacterial small subunit ribosomal RNA", at positions 524 to 776 of the family's 1533-position model. The record is from RNAcentral.